RNAcentral lists this ribosomal RNA (346 nucleotides) under uncultured eukaryote. RNAcentral describes it as "SSU rRNA". It matches the Rfam family "Eukaryotic small subunit ribosomal RNA", at positions 594 to 945 of the family's 1831-position model. The record is from RNAcentral.
AUAGCGUAUAUUAAAGUUGUUGCAGUUAAAAAGCUCGUAGUUGAACUUCAGGCCUGGUUGGGCGGUCUGCCUCACGGUAUGUACUGUCCGACUGGGUCUUACCUCUUGGUGAGCCGGCAUGCCCUUCACUGGGUGUGUCGGGGAACCAGGACUUUUACUUUGAGAAAAUUAGAGUGUUCAAAGCAGGCCUAUGCCCGAAUACAUUAGCAUGGAAUAAUAAAAUAGGACGUGCGGUUCUAUUUUGUUGGUUUCUAGAGUCGCCGUAAUGAUUAAUAGGGAUAGUUGGGGGCAUUAGUAUUCAAUUGUCAGAGGUGAAAUUCUUGGAUUUAUUGAAGACUAACUACUG